RNAcentral lists this RNase P RNA (358 nucleotides) under Defluviitaleaceae bacterium. RNAcentral's name for it is "RNase P RNA component class A". It matches the Rfam family "Bacterial RNase P class A". Rfam says of the family: Ribonuclease P (RNase P) is a ubiquitous endoribonuclease, found in archaea, bacteria and eukarya as well as chloroplasts and mitochondria. The record is from RNAcentral. Lineage: Bacteria; Bacillati; Bacillota; Clostridia; Lachnospirales; Defluviitaleaceae. RNAcentral also lists the same sequence under 1 other name.
UGAGCAAAUCGUACGGUCGCAAGUACAGUACCGAAAGGUCGUACUUGAGGAAAGUCCGAGCUCCGCAGAGCAGGGUGCUGGGUAACACCCAGUGGAGGCGACUCUAAGGAAAGUGCAACAGAAAUAAACCGCUGUCUUAUUAUAAUAAGGCAGUAAGGGUGGAAAGGUGAGGUAAGAGCUCACCGCUCCCAUGGCGACUUGGGAGGCUCUGUAAACCCCACCUGGAGCAAGACCGUAUAGGAGAACAUUUGUGGCUGCUCGUCACGUUCUCGGGUAGGUUGCUGGAGCAUAUAGGUAACUAUAUGCCUAGAUAGAUGACCGUAUACAACAGAACUCGGCUUACAGAUUUGCUCAUAGA